AUUGAACGCUGGCGGCAUGCCUUACACAUGCAAGUCGAACGGCAGCACGGGUGCUUGCACCUGGUGGCGAGUGGCGAACGGGUGAGUAAUACAUCGGAACAUGUCCUGUAGUGGGGGAUAGCCCGGCGAAAGCCGGAUUAAUACCGCAUACGAUCUACGGAUGAAAGCGGGGGACCUUCGGGCCUCGCGCUAUAGGGUUGGCCGAUGGCUGAUUAGCUAGUUGGUGGGGUAAAGGCCUACCAAGGCGACGAUCAGUAGCUGGUCUGAGAGGACGAUCAGCCACACGGGGACUGAGACACGGACCAGACGCCUACGGGAGGCAGCAGUGGGGAAUGUUGGACAAUGGGCGAAAGCCUGAUCCAGCAAUGCCGCGUGUGUGAAGAAGACCUUCGGUGUGUAAAGCACUUUUGUCCGGAAAGAAAUGCUUGGCCCUAAUACGGUCGGGGGAUGACGGUACCGGAAGAAUAAGCACCGGCUAACUACGUG
RNAcentral lists this ribosomal RNA (486 nucleotides) under uncultured bacterium. Its description in RNAcentral is "partial 16S ribosomal RNA". It matches the Rfam family "Bacterial small subunit ribosomal RNA", at positions 29 to 507 of the family's 1533-position model. The record is from RNAcentral.